Molecule: ribosomal RNA, 506 nt
Filed under: uncultured bacterium
Lineage: Bacteria
Description: partial 16S ribosomal RNA
Rfam family: Bacterial small subunit ribosomal RNA
Source: RNAcentral
AGCGAACGCUGGCGGCAGGCCUAACACAUGCAAGUCGAACGGCAGCACAGAGGAGCUUGCUCCUUGGGUGGCGAGUGGCGGACGGGUGAGGAAUACAUCGGAAUCUACUCUGUCGUGGGGGAUAACGUAGGGAAACUUACGCUAAUACCGCAUACGACCUACGGGUGAAAGCAGGGGACCUUCGGGCCUUGCGCGAUUGAAUGAGCCGAUGUCGGAUUAGCUAGUUGGCGGGGUAAAGGCCCACCAAGGCGACGAUCCGUAGCUGGUCUGAGGGGUUGAUAAGCCACACUGGAACUGAGGAACGGUCCAGACUCCUACGGGAGGCAGCAGUGGGGAAUAUUGGACAAUUGGCGCAAGCCUGAUCCAGCCAUACCGCGUGGGUGAAGAAGGCCUUCGGGUUGUAAAGCCCUUUUGUUGGGAAAGAAAUCCAGCUGGCUAAUACCCGGUUGGGAUGACGGUACCCAAAGAAUAAGCACCGGCUAACUUCGUGCCAGCAGCCGCAGUAA